RNAcentral lists this ribosomal RNA (497 nucleotides) under uncultured bacterium. Its description in RNAcentral is "partial 16S ribosomal RNA". It matches the Rfam family "Bacterial small subunit ribosomal RNA", at positions 28 to 507 of the family's 1533-position model. The record is from RNAcentral.
GAUGAACGCUGGCGGCGUGCCUAAUACAUGCAAGUCGAGCGAACGGACGAGAAGCUUGCUUUUCUGAUGUUAGCGGCGGACGGGUGAGUAACACGUGGAUAACCUACCUAUCAGACUGGGAUAAUUUCGGGAAACCGGAGCUAAUACCGGAUAAUAUUUUGAACCGCAUGGUUCAAAAGUGAAAGACGGUCUUGCUGUCACUUAUAGAUGGAUCCGCGCUGCAUUAGUUAGUUGGUAAGGUAACGGCUUACCCAGGCAACGAUGCAUAGCCGACCUGAGAGGGUGGUCGGCCAGACUGGAACUGAGGCAGGGUCCAGACUCCUACGGGGAGCAGCAGUAGGGAAUCUUCCGCAAUGGGCGAAAGCCUGACGGAGCAACGCCGCGUGAGUGAUGAAGGUCUUCGGAUCGUAAAACGCUGUUGUUAGGGAAGAACAUAUGUGUAAGUAACUGUGCACAUCUUGACGGUACCUAGUCAGAAAGCCACGGCUAACUACGUG